GAGCGGACGCCGCCGAGUCGCCCUCAGGGGCGAGCCGGGGACCCACCGCAGAACUGGGGUGAAUCCCGCUCCUGGACGCACGUCCAGGGGCAGGUAGGGCCGCUUCCCGCCCGAACCCGUCAGCUAACCCGGUAGGCGGCCGUCGGAAGAACG
RNAcentral lists this small RNA (153 nucleotides) under Geodermatophilus obscurus. Its description in RNAcentral is "c-di-AMP sequence". It matches the Rfam family "c-di-AMP riboswitch aptamer (ydaO/yuaA leader)". From Rfam's summary of the family: This family represents a conserved RNA structure found upstream of the ydaO and yuaA genes in Bacillus subtilis and related genes in other bacteria. The ydaO/yuaA element is thought to act as a genetic "off" switch for the ydaO and yuaA genes in its native state. It is believed that the element may be triggered during osmotic shock leading to activation of ydaO, a predicted amino acid transporter gene, and members of the yuaA-yubG operon which code for KtrA and KtrB K+ transporters. Lineage: Bacteria; Bacillati; Actinomycetota; Actinomycetes; Geodermatophilales; Geodermatophilaceae. The record is from RNAcentral. RNAcentral also lists the same sequence under 1 other name.